This 77-nucleotide transfer RNA is filed under the name Thermodesulfatator autotrophicus. RNAcentral describes it as "tRNA-Arg". It matches the Rfam family "tRNA". Rfam says of the family: Transfer RNA (tRNA) molecules are approximately 80 nucleotides in length. Their secondary structure includes four short double-helical elements and three loops (D, anti-codon, and T loops). The record is from RNAcentral. Lineage: Bacteria; Pseudomonadati; Thermodesulfobacteriota; Thermodesulfobacteria; Thermodesulfobacteriales; Thermodesulfatatoraceae.
GCGCCCGUAGCUCAACCGGAUAGAGCGUUGGACUACGAAUCCAGAGGCUGGAGGUUCGAGUCCUCCCGGGCGCGCCA